CCGCACGCGCGCUACACUGACAGAGCCAACGAGUUUCUUCCUUGUCCGAAAGGUCUGGGUAAUCUUGUUAAACUCUGUCGUCGUGGGGAUAGAGCAUUGCAAUUAUUGCUCUUCAACGAGGAAUUCCUAGUAAGCGCAAGUCAUCAGCUUGCGCUGAUUACGU
RNAcentral lists this ribosomal RNA (163 nucleotides) under uncultured eukaryote. Its description in RNAcentral is "partial 18S ribosomal RNA". It matches the Rfam family "Eukaryotic small subunit ribosomal RNA", at positions 1487 to 1650 of the family's 1831-position model. The record is from RNAcentral.